CAGAGGUAUCCUGGUGGUGCAGGCACAGCUCUGGUGAGGGUGACAGACUCUCAGAGUCAGCCUGAGGCUGAGCCUGGAUGUGGCAAAACCAGCGUUCAGAAAUAGCUCUUCCCAGCAGUGGGAAUGGCAUCACAGACACGAGCUGCAGCUGGUGUGAGCUGGCCCUUCACUGCCAGAGGCUUUGCUGGCCCAGCUGAAGCCCUCGUCUCCCUCUGUGUGUGCCCGGGUGUCCCUGGUGUGAGCAGGCCUGGCACGGGCAGCACUGCAGGUGAUGGGGCAGCAGGAGGAGGAGGAGGAAGAGGAAGGAGCCCAGCUGCUCCUUGGGCUGCGCUGGAGGGGCUGGAGGGGCUGAGGCUGAGCAGGAUGCUGAGGGUGCUCAGGAUGACCUGCCAGCCUGAAAGUGUUCCAAGGGCAUCACCUCGAGGCAGCAGCUCUGAGGUGUGAAUGAAGGGCACAGUGGCCACUGAAGCCAC
Molecule: long non-coding RNA, 473 nt
Organism: Vidua chalybeata
Lineage: Eukaryota; Metazoa; Chordata; Aves; Passeriformes; Viduidae
Exons: 3
Source: RefSeq, a predicted model, not a curated record